GGCAGGUCGGGGGCGGUCUGUGCAUACCGGAGAAGCUGGAUCCGGCCCCUCCGGGCAGCCCGGGGACAGGCACCGGACUGGAGCUGAACAGCGUGGCCACAAGGGCUGAAGCAAGGACUUAAAUCAGCAGCGGGGUGGGGGAAAAAAAACUACUCCGAGCCAGGCAGGAGUCGAACCUACAAUCUUCUGAUCCGUAGUCAGACGCGUUAUCCAUUGCGCCACUGGCCCAGCACGCGGCCUGGCUCCGCUGCGGUGUGUGAUACAGCUGAGCUGCGGGGCGGCUGGGAGGGUUCCUGCAGGUGCUCCUUCGUGUCCGCCCUCCCAGCCCCUCCGGGCCACCACCCCAAGCCCCGGGACCCCCGUCCCGUGCUGGUACCAGCUCGGCGUGUGAGCCGGGCCCCGGCUGCCUGUACCCACACGUACACGACAACUACUUCGCAGCCAGCAGGCUCCAGCUCGGCGAGAGGCUUUAUACAUCUCCGGAGAAUACUUUCCCAUGUCCCUUCGAUAGCUCAGCUGGUAGAGCGGAGGACUGUAGUGGAAGUACUUGUCGAUAUCCUUAGGUCGCUGGUUCGAUUCCGGCUCGAAGGAGGCUUAUUUUUUUUUAAUCCUCCUACCCCUGCUGGGGGCAGCCGGGUUUCUCAGGGCUCAGUUGCUCCGAAAUGAGAGCUGCUCGGCGCGGACUGUAUAAGGAUCGGGCCAAAACAUGACAAUCAAUUCACAACUGUUCCUCAGCCCUGGAGUGAGCAUGGGGGAAUGGAUCGUAUUGAGAUCUUAGAAGAACAGUGGAGAAAGAAGCAACAGACAGCCAGUUCCACGGAGAAGUGAGCAAGCAAACAGGACAUUCCUUCUUAGACAGCUCAUCUGGAAACUGCAGUCAGACUGUGUUUGCUCCCAGUUUAUGAGUCUGUGUGAUAGCUGCGGUGGCUGUCCCCAAUUAGCUGAGUUUUCUCAUUUGCAUUUGUCGGCUGGAGUAU
Long non-coding RNA from Alligator sinensis (Chinese alligator), 977 nucleotides. RefSeq lists it as uncharacterized. The transcript is spliced from 3 exons. NCBI's taxonomy places the organism in Eukaryota, Metazoa, Chordata, Crocodylia, Alligatoridae. The record is from RefSeq and is a predicted model, not a curated record.